This 2623-nucleotide long non-coding RNA is filed under the name Sus scrofa (pig). Its description in RNAcentral is "lncRNA (ENSSSCG00060050758.1)". Lineage: Eukaryota; Metazoa; Chordata; Mammalia; Artiodactyla; Suidae. The record is from RNAcentral.
AGCAAAGAAGAAAAUUGAAAAAUCUGAAAAGGAAAGCAAAGAAAAAGCAGAAAUGAAACACCUUAAAGAAGAAAAAGUCCCAGCAAGUAAAGAAAGUCUUCAAUCACACAAUGUGACAAAAGCAGAAAAACCUGCAAGACUAUCAAGGGAAGAUUCUGAGGAUGUACCAGCUUCAAAGAAAGCUAAAGAUGAAGCUGAAGAUGUGUCUUCUACAAAGAAGCAAAAAAGCCCCAUCAGCUUCUUCCAGUGUGUCUACUUGGAUGGAUACAAUGGCUAUGGAUUUCAGUUUCCUGUCACUCCUGCACACCGCCCUGGGGAGAGCUCUGGUCAACCAAGUUCUCCAGGACAGAAGCAACAAGGGCAAUAAGAGACACAUGCACAGCCCCUACAAGUGCUUUAAGACUUUGAAAAUAGGAUCUUCCAUUUGCCCACAGUGGCACAGGCAAUUGAAAUCAUAUAGUCCAGAGAAUUUCUUUGAAAAUGUUUUACUUUUCUGCCUGGUGUAGAAAGAAAGGGUGAGCAAAGGGAUUGAAUAAUAAGCAGACAAACGGGAGGGUCUGGAGCACAAGAAUUUGUCAUUUGUUGCUGGGUGUGGGUGCUUAUAUUUUUUAAACUUCCAUUCACUGUAGGGCUGUUCACAAAUUAAUUUAAAGUUUGCUUAAUAAUGGUCUUUUAAACAUAAUUGACACAAUUACAAAAUGAAGUUCCUGGCUUCAGUUAGAUAUUUACUUUUAAGUGAAAAUAAGACCAUGCUUUAAGUUGAAAGGGUAUACUAGCAUAAGCUGUGUUUUUCCAUCAUGUAGUAGGUAAACUCAACUUACCUAGUAAGUUGAUGUGUAAUAGUUUAAUUUUAUUUCUAUCUGAAUUUUUAGUUGUGACUAUGCUCUAAAAAGGGGUAACAGUUGCACCAAAGAAUGCUAUAAGUUCUUUGCGAUGUUCUCUUAGAGCUCAAAAUAUCUCUGAACUUUAGACAUGGUAAGAUGGAGUAGAAAUGUCUGAUGAAUCUUGUCUCUAAGAUUUGUCUUGAAGUACAAUUAGGACAUUCACUCCUGCGGAAAUACACCAUCCAAUUAGGCAAGUCUGGUGAAUCAUUUGUUUAAAUGUAAACAAAUGAGAGGUAGAAUAUUCAGAUUUUUUCCAGACUCUGCCCUAAUGAAAAUGUCACCUGAGUGGAAUUUUAGAUCAAUCACUAAAUUCGAGUGACAGAUGCAAGAAUAUUUUCAUUUUACUUUAAUAGGAUCAUUUUAUGGAUUUAAACAGGUUUUAUUCCUCGAAAUGUAAAAAUGUGAAUGUCAUCAAAGUUGAAGGAAUACAUUUUAAGCAUAAGUGCUUCAUGAGAUGUCUUAUUUGUUUUUUACGUAAUUGGUUACCAGUGUCAAUAAAAUGGAGGACAAUCUUUAACUUACUUGAUACAAUGCAUCACUGGGAAUGACUAUUAUAGUUGUGCCAUCCUUUGCUUCCAGUGAUAUAAACGUGUGGUUAUUUUUACCACAUUUUUCUAUCAACGCUAAAAGUCAUGCCACUGUAACCUUUAUUGUGUUUACAGUUGCAAUUCAACUAUGACAAAUUAACUCAGGAAAUAAAGUGAGUUUUCUUACUGGCUUUAUAAUUGUCUUCAGUAAAGUCUGUAAAAGCCAGAGCUGAUACUAGCCAAGUGAUUUAUUUUCAAGGACUGCCAACUAAGUUCUUUAGGUCCAAGAUGUCAAAUGCUGUUUUGCUGAAAUAUCAUUAGGCUAGAGCAUCAGUAACAUGUUGAUUAAUAAUGGAUUUUCAGUGACUUUUGUGAAAAGUUUGUCUCAGUUGCAGGCUGAUGGACCUAACUCACACCACAAAAGCCAAUGGUACUAUGAACCAAGACUAAUGACACUCCUUAGGGGGCCCUGGAGGUGUGUAACUUGAGUACUGACCAGAUGCUAUCAUCUUGCAAAGUCUCUUCAUGUAGCGAUGAAAACUUAUGGGUAGGACAGUGGAUUAAGUUUACUGCUCAACUGCUCCUCCAGUUGUCCAACUUAAUGACUAAAGGAAUAAAGAGUAAAUAUCCUAAUUUUUUUUUCAAUUUCAUAGAAAAGGAUGGCUUAUCCAUUCAAUAGCUAAUGAACAUUUACUCUUUCUAGGGCACUGUGUUAGGCAUUGGACAGUAAAAGAAAAAUAGUGAAUAUAAAUUCUUUUUCCAGUGCUAUCUUGACACGUGUGGCCUUGGAAAAUUUGCUAAAUGUACUGUGCUUGUUUCCCGUUGUGUAAAAUAGGGAUUUCAAGACAAAAAACCUUAUAUCUCACAGACAUACUGUGGAGACUGACAAAAUAUCUUAAUACCAAUGUGACAUCAAAAUUAAUUUCAGAAAUAAUUCUUGUGGAUGUGGCAAUGCUUUUCCCUCUGAGUGCUUUUCUACAUUGUAUUAUUGUUUCUUUCAUUAUCAUUAUGAAAACUAUUUGAUAAGAAAAUAAAGUAGGAUAAUUUAUUGUAAUAAGAAUAACACAAACCAAUUAUGGUGUAAACAGUAUAAAUAAUACUUGUUACAGUUUCUCUGCUUAAAGUUAUAAUGAAAAUAGCACAUGGAAAAUAUUACUAAACUCUCAUCUGUUCUUAUGGUACCAUCAAAUAAAGUAUUUCUAGUCCUUUCAU